Arachis ipaensis is the source of this 1369-nucleotide non-coding RNA. NCBI's taxonomy places the organism in Eukaryota, Viridiplantae, Streptophyta, Magnoliopsida, Fabales, Fabaceae. The record is from RefSeq and is a predicted model, not a curated record.
UGCACAUGGAUCGGAUAAUAUCCGCAGAUCCGCGGUAAUUAUCCGCAUCCGAUCCGAAUUUCGCGGAUAUUAUCCGAUCCGCAGAGUCAUCGGAUCGGAUCAGAUCCGAUCCGCACUGUGGUAGGAUCGGAUCGCGGAUUUGGCAGUGAUACCCGCGGAUCCGAUCCGCAGAUCCGCAUAGAUCCGCACAUGACCCAUCAUAUAAAUAGCUAAUGUUAUGUUAUUGUGAGUUGUGACCUAACCCUAAAUCCCUCAUUACGGCGCUCCUCACCUUUUUCACUCUCUGAAGUCUGAACUCUGGACUCUCCUCUCAAUCUCAGAUCCUCACUCACUUACUCAGACUCUCAAACUCUGGCUCUCCUUCUCCUCUCUGAUCGGCUCUGCCUUGCUCUAUCACUAGUGUUCGCUGUCCAUCACCGUCUCCUAAGAUCAUUAUUUACUGUUCUUCCAGGCUCCAGCUACACGGUCGUUGCCUCCUCCAUCGACGCGGUGGACGGCGGUCGCGUCGUUCUCCAUAGGCGUUCUUCAUAUGUCGCGUUCUUCACUAGCGCAGCGCUCACGGUCGGUGGUCUCCUCCAGUAGUGCGGUCACCUCCUCCAACGCUCACGGUCGCGUUCAUCAUUUCUUGUUCUCUCCAAGCAGCUUCGUGAAUCUGUCAGAGUCAGACCAGCCGUCCUUCUUCUCCAUCGUUUUUGCUCUCGGCUCUUCAACUGAUCAGAUAUGGCACUGAGGGUUUAUAUGGUUUAAAGGUUUAAUUGGAAGAUGAAGUGGCGGAAGAUUUUAGUGGAUUUGAUAUAUUGAGGUGGUGGAGAGGAAAGACUUUGAGGUAUCGUGUUCUCUCUUGCAUGGCUAGAGAUAUAUUAGCCAUUCCUGUUUCUACUGUGGCAUCUGAGUCAGUUUUUAGCACGGGAGGUCGUGUCCUUGACCCUUAUCGCAGUUGUUUGAGUCCCACCACUAUAGAGGCGUUAAUUUGCACUCAAAAUUGGUUGAAGCCUGCUAAGAUAUUGGUUGAGCUUGAUGAAGGAGAUGCCGCUGUUAAAUUCAGAAUUUUCUGGAGUUACUAGUGUCGGAGAUCCUGAAGUUCAAAGUGGAAUGCAAUCUCAUCAACCAUCUUAGGAAUGAAUGCUUGCUGAUAUAGUGUCAAUUGGAAGACUGGAAGAGAUGUGUCAAUUGGAACUUGUUGAGUUGCUGUUUUAGUGUUUUUAGUAUGCUGGAAUUGCUGUUUUAGUAUGAUUUAGUGUGCUGAAUUGUUGAGUUGCUGUUUUAGUAUGUUAAAUUAUUGAUUUGAUGUGUUGUUUUACCAAGUGUUGUCAUAAAUUAUUGUAUUUUUAAUUUUUAAUUGCUAAGUUGCUGUUUUAUUUUUAAUUUU